RNAcentral lists this long non-coding RNA (507 nucleotides) under Pan troglodytes (chimpanzee). RNAcentral describes it as "long non-coding RNA NONPTRT013723". The record is from RNAcentral. Lineage: Eukaryota; Metazoa; Chordata; Mammalia; Primates; Hominidae.
AAAUUUGAGAAAUGAAACUGAGAACUCCAGCAACUGCUUCUUGAUUGGUCUCACAUGGCGUGCAUUGCUAGGUCUCUGUGCUGUUACAACCAUCGCUGUCCCAUCAGCUAGCCAGGAGGUGGCCUAAGGGGCAAGGCAUAGGGGCUAUCUCUUCAGGCAGGUGGGAGUUCUGCCUCUUUCUAGUACCUCAUGGGGCAGCUCUCCCAGCUCCUCUGCACCCUGAGGCCCCCAAAUUGGCAGGUUGUUUUUUCUUAGUUCUCAACAUCACAUUUCUUUAUUUCAUUUCCCAAGAUAUACCUCAAAUAUAGACAUUUAAAAAAGUGAAUGCCCUCUCUGUGCAUCUUAAGGGAUUUUUCAGAGGUGUGUUCAUACCCUUACUUCACACACACACACACACACACACACACACACACACACAGUUCUAUCUAUCAAUCUAUCUAUCUACCUACCUGCUGUCACCUCUCUAUUGUCUACUUUUAUAUAGGGAGAGCCCUGGCAGUGGUCAGU